UCCGUAGGUGAACCUGCGGAGGGAUCAUUACAGAGUUGAAAAACUCCCAACCAUUGUGAAUCUACCUCACCGUUGCUUCGGCGGGUGGCCCCACCAGGGCCGCGCCGGCUCCCUACGGAGCCGGCAACCCGUCAGAGGACCGAAACUCUUAGUCAUCAUUGGCCUCUCUGAGUAACUUAUACAAUAAGUCAAAACUUUCAACAACGGAUCUCUUGGUUCUGGCAUCGAUGAAGAACGCAGCGAAAUGCGAUACGUAAUGUGAAUUGCAGAUUUCAGUGAAUCAUCGAAUCUUUGAACGCACAUUGCGCCCGCUAGUAUUCUGGCGGGCAUGCCUGUUCGAGCGUCAUUUCAACCAUCAAGCCCCCGGCUUGUGUUGGGGCCCUGCGGCUGCCGCAGACCCCUAAAUGCAGUGGCGGGCUCGUCGUCGUACCGAGUGCAGUAAACAUCCUCGCUCAGGGAACGCGUCGGGUUCCGGCCGUGAAACACCCAACUUAUCAAGGUUGACCUCGGAUCAGGUAGGAAUACCCGCUGAACUUAAGCAUAUCAAUAAGGCGGGAGGGGAAGGUCGGACUGGCCAAGGGCACACAGGGGGGGAUA
This 597-nucleotide ribosomal RNA is filed under the name uncultured fungus. Its description in RNAcentral is "eukaryotic LSU rRNA". The stretch from base 193 to 346 matches the Rfam family "5.8S ribosomal RNA". Lineage: Eukaryota; Fungi. The record is from RNAcentral.